This is a long non-coding RNA of Leptidea sinapis, 466 nucleotides long. RefSeq lists it as uncharacterized. The record is from RefSeq and is a predicted model, not a curated record. The transcript has 2 exons. NCBI's taxonomy places the organism in Eukaryota, Metazoa, Arthropoda, Insecta, Lepidoptera, Pieridae.
UCUAAGCAAUGGUCUAGGUAGGCUAACAAACAUGUGUUUUGUUAGCAAGAUAUAAACCUUUUUGCUGAUUUGUUAGGUAGCGAUAAUAGAUAAUCAUGAUAAUUCUAAUAAUGACGGAUAUUUACAAAACAUUAAAUUGGGUGCCAAAUUUUUAUGUGUAAAAAUUUCUAACUAUGUAACUUAAAGUUUGAGUGUAACUUUUUAAUUCUUUUGAGGUGUGUGGCCAAAGGCAAGUAUCUAUGGGAGUAUUUUAAGAGGAAGACGGGAAGCAGUCCACUCUCCUACUUUUAAUGACCAGAUUGACGCUAUGCAGACGUAGACCGUUAACGGGCAUCAGUAUCGGAGAGAAGAACUAGCCCUGGAGUCAUUGAUAAUCAUGCCCGGCCUGGUGGAACCCAUAAUAAAAGUUGGUAUGUUGGUUUGUAUGUCAAUGUACAAUUUGAAAUAAAAUAAUGAAUUUAAUGAA